RNAcentral lists this ribosomal RNA (392 nucleotides) under uncultured bacterium. Its description in RNAcentral is "partial 16S ribosomal RNA". It matches the Rfam family "Bacterial small subunit ribosomal RNA", at positions 523 to 918 of the family's 1533-position model. The record is from RNAcentral.
AUACGGAGGAUCCGAGCGUUAUCCGGAUUUAUUGGGUUUAAAGGGUGCGCAGGCGGCCAUUUAAGUCAGCGGUUAAAUCGUGGGGCUCAACCCCAUUCUGCCGUUGAUACUGGGUGGCUUGAUUGCGGUCGAGGUUGGCGGAAUUCGUUGUGUAGCGGUGAAAUGCAUAGAUAUGACGAAGAACACCGAUUGCGUAGGCAGCUGACCAGAUCGCAAAUGACGCUCAUGCACGAAAGUGCGGGGAUCGAACAGGAUUAGAUACCCUGGUAGUCCGCACAGUAAACGAUGAAUUCUUGUUUUCGGCGAUAUAAUGUCGGAGGCAAAGCGAAAGCGAUAAGUAUUCCACCUGGGGAGUACGCCGGCAACGGUGAAACUCAAAUGAAUUGACGGGG